UACGGGGGGGGCAAGCGUUGUUCGGAAUUACUGGGCGUAAAGGGCUCGUAGGUGGCCAACUAAGUCAGACGUGAAAUCCCUCGGCUCAACCGAGGAAUUGCGUCUGAUACUGGAUGGCUGGAGUUCGGGAGAGGGAUGCGGAAUUCCAGGUGUAGCGGUGAAAUGCGUAGAUAUCUGGAGGAACACCGGUGGCGAAGGCGGCAUCCUGGACCGACACUGACGCUGAUGAGCGAAAGCCAGGGGAGCAAACGGG
Molecule: ribosomal RNA, 253 nt
Filed under: uncultured bacterium
Lineage: Bacteria
Description: partial 16S ribosomal RNA
Rfam family: Bacterial small subunit ribosomal RNA
Source: RNAcentral